This 254-nucleotide ribosomal RNA is filed under the name uncultured bacterium. Its description in RNAcentral is "partial 16S ribosomal RNA". It matches the Rfam family "Bacterial small subunit ribosomal RNA", at positions 796 to 1041 of the family's 1533-position model. The record is from RNAcentral.
CAUACCGUAAAUGAUGCUCGCUAGGUGUUUAGAUCGAUUUAUUGAUCUGAGUGCCGUAAGCUAACGCGUUAAGCGAGCCGCCUGGGUAGUAUAGUCGCAAGACUGAAACUCAAAGGGAUAGGCGGGGGAACACACAAGCAGUGGAUUGCCUCGAUUAAUUGGAUAAUAAGCCAAGAAUCUUACCCCGGCUUGACAUCUAUAGAAUCCCCCUGAAAGGGGGGAGUGCCUCGCAAGAGGAAUUAUAAGACAGGUGC